RNAcentral lists this long non-coding RNA (250 nucleotides) under Setaria viridis. RNAcentral describes it as "long non-coding RNA (SVIR_LNC009861)". The record is from RNAcentral. Lineage: Eukaryota; Viridiplantae; Streptophyta; Magnoliopsida; Poales; Poaceae.
UUGUAUGCAGUACCCUAAAGAUCAUUCUGGGUGCACUUUGCAUGCUUAGGCAGCACUUUAUAAUAUUCACCACCAAAAGAAGUGAUUAGGACCUUUCUCUCCCUCCUCACAUGGAAAGGGCUAAUUCCCAUGCAAGGUGAUUAUCUAAUGCCAAUUGAUUCCAUCAUGUGCUCUAAACUGAAGCGUUGUGCUGUUAAAGAAAGACUUGGCAAUUUUAACUUUUCUUUCUAGGCAGGCAGGGGAAUGUUUG